Molecule: long non-coding RNA, 267 nt
Filed under: Nicotiana benthamiana
Lineage: Eukaryota; Viridiplantae; Streptophyta; Magnoliopsida; Solanales; Solanaceae
Description: long non-coding RNA (NBEN_LNC015626)
Source: RNAcentral
CACAUACUACAUUAAGAAUAAUGCUGUAGAGGAUGUUCCUACUCCUAAAACAGCGGCCUGGGCUGUGAGGAAGAUUUUUGAGACCAGAUCAUUGAUAACAAAAACACAGGGUGUACAGGGGGACCUGAAAUGUAGACUGAUCCAGCUACAGAGUGGUGGAAAAUUCAACAUCAAUAAACUCUACAAACUCCAACUCCCUCUUUUCCUCAAAGUACAAUGGAAAAGCAUAGUAUUGCAACCUAAACUACAUCCACGAUUCAAAUGUGU